Molecule: transfer RNA, 77 nt
Filed under: Podarcis lilfordi (Lilford's wall lizard)
Lineage: Eukaryota; Metazoa; Chordata; Lepidosauria; Squamata; Lacertidae
Description: tRNA.Ile
Rfam family: tRNA (bases 4-72)
About the family: Transfer RNA (tRNA) molecules are approximately 80 nucleotides in length. Their secondary structure includes four short double-helical elements and three loops (D, anti-codon, and T loops). Further hydrogen bonds mediate the characteristic L-shaped molecular structure. tRNAs have two regions of fundamental functional importance: the anti-codon, which is responsible for specific mRNA codon recognition, and the 3' end, to which the tRNAs corresponding amino acid is attached (by aminoacyl-tRNA synthetases). tRNAs cope with the degeneracy of the genetic code in two manners: having more than one tRNA (with a specific anti-codon) for a particular amino acid; and 'wobble' base-pairing, i.e. permitting non-standard base-pairing at the 3rd anti-codon position.
Source: RNAcentral
AUGCUAUGGGUAGCUCAGUUGGUUAGAGCGGGGUGCUGAUAACACCAAGGUUGCAGGUUUGAUCCCCAUAUGGGAUA